UCAUAUGCGGACUUAUAGUGAGAAUGACAGCUAUCCUAAUAUAAAAUUGCACUGGACUAUUAAUUAGCUGUUGUUUGUUUUGUUUUGUUUUCCCCCCUAUCUUUGAGAUAGUCUCACUCUGUAGCCAGGAACUUGCUAUGUGGGCCAGGCUGGCCCUGAACUUGUGAUUGCCUGGGCUCUUUCCCCAUUGCUGAGCUUACAUAUAUCGCACCUCCUGUUUGGCUAAUUCCGUUGUUUGUUUGUUUUGUUGUUGUUUUUAAGUGUACUAUAGAAUUUCACUUUAAUUUAAAAAAUCAAAAUACGUACAUCAAAAUAUUAGAAGUCUCCUCUGCAUGUCCUGGAUGGUCAUGUCUGCAGCAGCUUAUCUUCUGUCCAAGGAGAUUGGAAAAUACGGUCAGGAAACAAAUUGAGUGCAGAAGUUGAAAGCUACAUGAAUGUGAGAUCUGCUGGUUUUAUGCUUGCUUGCUAUUUUAUUUUAUUUUAUUUUAUUUUAUUUUAUUUUAUUUUUUUGAGACAGGGUUUCUCUGUGUAGCAGCCCUGGCUGUCCUGGAACCAGCUUUGUAGACCAGGCUGCCUCUAAUUCAGAGAUCCUUCUAUUUAUGCCUCCUGAGUGUUGAGCUCAAAGGUGUGCAUCACCCCUGCCUGGCAAAAUUUUCACACAGACUUCUCACAGCCUAAAAUUGAAAUACUAAGGGUUUUGUUGUUGUUGUUGUUGUUUGUUUGUUUGUUUGUUUGUUUCUGUUCUUUGUUUUUGUCUUCAAAGUCAAAAUGCCACAGUAAACCAUAUAUUAGAAGCACCUAAGCCCUCCUCCUUGUCCUGUUUGACAGCUAAAGUUUCUCUAGAGACAGGUGCUGACUUGGGGAUUUAGCCCAGGGUCUUGCAUGUGGCUGAAGAAACACACCCUGAGCUACAUCUCCUGCCCCUCACCCCUCUAUUUGACAUAUUCUCCCCUCUCUCUGUGAACCCCCUAUUCUCCCUUUCUCUAUCUCACUUGCUCAUUUUUGCAUAGUGUUUACUCCAUUAAAUUUUUAUUUUAAAUAUUUAUUCACUGUUACACAUUCAGCCACUCCAGAAGAGGGCGCCAGAUCUCAUUACAGAUGGUUGUGAGCCACCAUGUAGUUGCAGGGAUCUGAAUUCAGGACCUUCAGAAGAGCAAUCAGUGCUUUUAACCACUGAGCCAUCUCUCCAGCCCCUAUUAAUUUUUUUUUUACUUUUUUUUUUUAAUUUGGGGAGAGGGGAGCAUGCCAUCUGGCCAUCUUGCUAGCCCCUGUUAAAUAGGUUCUUAGAAAUAACUUUGAGGUGGGGGGAUUAUUUAAAUACAGAAUUUAAUAUUAUCUUUAGUCAAACAUUUUAUUUAUUUGGACCUGUAAAUGCAGAAGAAUUAAUAAAAUGUUAUUAAUUCUUAGCUGUCAUGACAGUGCUGGGAAUUGAACUCAGGUCCCCUGGAAGAGCAGCCAGUGUUCCUAACUGCUGAGCCAUCUCUCCAGCUCAUAAUUUUUUGUGGGGACAGGGUUUCUCUGUGUAGCUCUGGCUGUUUUGGAACUUGCUUCGGGCUCAUAGAGGUCCACCUGCCUCUGCCUCCUAAGUGCUGAGAUUAAAGGCGUGCGCCACCAUCACCAGGCCUGUAAUUUUAUUUUUUAAGUCAACAAGAACAACUCGUUUAUGAGAAUAUGGCCUGAUAUAAUAUAUUUUUGGGGAAAUAAAUAUAGCUUUUUAAAAAUUGAAAUCAGAAAAUGCUAUAUUUUUAACAAGUUUCAGUAGCUGGGUAAGUUUCAAGUCUAAAGGUUUAAAAUGAUAAACCUGAAAUAAGGGUUUGUUUGUUUGUUUUUCAACAAAACUGAAAAAAUAUUACAACUCAGGUAAUUAUGAAUUCCCUGAGAGAUGGAGGCAGAAGAACCAGGUUUGGGAUCAUUCUUGACUACACAGAAAGUUACAGGCUAGCUUGGGCCAUAGGAGACCGAGUUUCGAUCAAAUAAACAGGUUGCAUUAUUUUCUCAAUGGCUUUGUAUCACAGGAAAAUGUGAUUUUUUUUUUCUUGAUAGAAUUUUCAUUUAAAAGAACUGAAACCGGGCUGGUGGGAUGGCUUAAUGGGUAAGGCACUUUUCAUUACGACUUGUCAUAAGGUGCGUCUUGGGGACCCACAUGAUAGAACAGACUCCCACAAGUUGUGUACUCUGAUCUCCAUACAUGUGCCAUGACAAAUGCAAGCUUCCCCACCAAAAUACAUACAUAUAAUGCAAAAUACACACACAUAAUAUGUGUAUGUAUUAAACACUUAAAAAUAGAACCAACUCUCACAAUUGCCUAGGUCUGGUUCCCAGAGGCUUAUAACCACCAGGAAUUCCACUUCCAGUGGAUCUGGUGCCCUCUUCUGGUCUCCAGGGAUACUGCACACAUGUAAUGCACAGACAUACAUGCAGGAGAAACACACAUAAAAAUUAAAGCUGAAAAAAAAAUCUUCUUUAAGAUUGAAACGAACCAGGCAUGAUGAUGGCAUAUAUACCUGUAAUUAGAGCACUGAGGAGGUUGAAGCAGGAGGACUGCCACAAGUUCGAAGCCAGCCUCCGCCCUGCAGUGAGUUCCAGGCCAGUGCUAGAAACCUGUGUACCUCACAUACUCUGGUUGAGGCUGCAGAACAUUCUAGCUUGCUUUUCCUGUGGUCUUGAUUUGGUGGGAGCAGAGUUUCUCAAGAGGAAUUCCAUCUUUGCCAACAGAAAUUUAAGAUGUCGAUUCUUUAAAAUGCAGCUUAUACAGAAAGGGGGGAGUGUGUGCUGUGGACUGGAGAUGGUUUAUACAGUCAUGUGCAGUAGUCAUGUUCUCUUCAUUGUUUAAAAACCCAAACGCCACAGUGCCCUUUAGACACAAGCAGAGGCUAUGGAGAGUCACUGGUGGGAGCUGGUGUGCUGUGGCAGCCCCUCCCUGAACACAAUCUCUCCAAGAGCCAUCACCGACGAGACACUGCACUGAGAUGGCUGGCUCAGAAUUGUCCUGGCCUUUGUCUCCAGCAUUUUAGCUGUGAUUUUGCUCAUCUUAUCAUUUAUGAUGGUAUUAUUAGAGCAGACAUUUUCAAAGGAUCCAGAGCUGAGUGCUUU
Molecule: long non-coding RNA, 3093 nt
Filed under: Mus musculus (house mouse)
Lineage: Eukaryota; Metazoa; Chordata; Mammalia; Rodentia; Muridae
Description: long non-coding RNA chr4:149589320-149592413
Source: RNAcentral